CAGUAGCCACGGGAAUACAGAGGGUGCGAGCGUUAAUCGGAUUUACUGGGCGUAAGCGUGCGUAGGCGGCUUUUUAAGUCGGAUGUGAAAUCCCUGAGCUUAACUUAGGAAUUGCAUUCGAUACUGGGAAGCUAGAGUAUGGGAGAGGAUGGUAGAAUUCCAGGUGUAGCGGUGAAAUGCGUAGAGAUCUGGAGGAAUACCGAUGGCGAAGGCAGCCAUCUGGCCUAAUACUGACGCUGAGGUACGAAAGCAUGGGGAGCAAACAGGAUUAGAUACCCCCGUAGUCCCUGUCUCUUAUACA
RNAcentral lists this ribosomal RNA (301 nucleotides) under uncultured bacterium. Its description in RNAcentral is "partial 16S ribosomal RNA". It matches the Rfam family "Bacterial small subunit ribosomal RNA", at positions 509 to 808 of the family's 1533-position model. The record is from RNAcentral.